RNAcentral lists this unclassified non-coding RNA (373 nucleotides) under uncultured Caryophanales bacterium. RNAcentral's name for it is "uncultured Bacillales bacterium contains 16S-23S intergenic spacer region". Lineage: Bacteria; Bacillati; Bacillota; Bacilli; Caryophanales. The record is from RNAcentral.
UCCGGCUUUCACCGGCUGUCUCGUUAGAGUGCCCAACUGAAUGCUGGCAACUAAUGAUAAGGGUUGCGCUCGUUGCGGGACUGAACCCAACAUCUCACGACACGAGCUGACGACAACCAUGCACCACCUGUCUCCUCUGUCCCGAAGGCCUGCAAUAUCUCUAUUGCAUUCAGAGGGAUGUCAAGUCCUGGUAAGGUUCUUCGCGUUGCUUCGAAUUAAACCACAUGCUCCACCGCUUGUGCGGGCCCCCGUCAAUUCCUUUGAGUUUCAGCCUUGCGGCCGUACUCCCCAGGCGGAGUGCUUAAUGUGUUAACUUCGGCACUGAGGGUGGAGACCCCCAACACCUAGCACUCAUCGUUUACCGCGUGGACUA